GAGGUAUGAGGAAAAUAUCUAAGCAGUCUGACUGUCACUGUAGACUGAUAAGAUCCAACUCUGACCUUAGCAAAACC
Small nucleolar RNA from Suncus etruscus (white-toothed pygmy shrew), 77 nucleotides. RefSeq annotates it as small nucleolar RNA SNORD19. The transcript has a single exon. The record is from RefSeq and is a predicted model, not a curated record. Lineage: Eukaryota; Metazoa; Chordata; Mammalia; Eulipotyphla; Soricidae.